UUAUGGUAAAUGUCUUCUGCAUAGUGCUUGUAAACUAUUCUAUUGAGAAACCAACUUCCACAUCUGUAAUCUAAAAUCCAUCUCGUUGAUUUAUCUGCAGGUACUUUGCAGUAGCAGUGAUGCAUAUCCCUUGCUAUGGUGCGUUUGCUUUCAUGGUGAAGCUGAAGAACACAUUGUUAACUAGAUGGUUCCCCGAUUCAUAUCGGGGGACCGAGCUAGCUUGAAAGAUACGGUAGAGAGGAGUUACUAGAGAUGCAGAUAUACUAAAGGGACAAGGAAGCAAACAUAAUGAGAGUUACAAGUUCAACUCUGAAGAAGCCACAUUAGUUCAGA
This 333-nucleotide long non-coding RNA is filed under the name Linum usitatissimum (flax). RNAcentral describes it as "long non-coding RNA (LUSI_LNC001118)". Lineage: Eukaryota; Viridiplantae; Streptophyta; Magnoliopsida; Malpighiales; Linaceae. The record is from RNAcentral.